Molecule: RNase P RNA, 406 nt
Filed under: Deltaproteobacteria bacterium RBG_16_71_12
Lineage: Bacteria; Deltaproteobacteria
Description: RNase P RNA component class A
Rfam family: Bacterial RNase P class A
About the family: Ribonuclease P (RNase P) is a ubiquitous endoribonuclease, found in archaea, bacteria and eukarya as well as chloroplasts and mitochondria.
Source: RNAcentral
ACAGCAGGAGUGGUGUUCGCUGGUCGGCGUCUCAUGCCGCAAGGCUCGGGCGCCGACGGGAGGAAAGUCCGGGCUCCGCAGGGCAAGGGUGCAGGCCAACGGCCUGUCGGGGUGACUCGAAGGAAAGUGCCACAGAGAACAGACCGCCCGCGGGGCACCUUCGGGUGUUCCGCGAGCAAGGGUGAAACGGUGCGGUAAGAGCGCACCGCGCCCCUGGAGACAGGGGCGGCACGGCAAACCCCACCCGGAGCAAGGCGGGGGCGGCCGGGGAGACCCGGCGAGCGCGGCCCGCGCGCCCCCAAAGCUGCUCGAGCGCGUCGGCAACGGCGCGCCUGGAGGAAUGACCACCGCGCGCGCCGGGCGACCGACGCGCGUACAGAACCCGGCUUACGGCCUGUCUGGGACG